CCCGCGGGGACUAAAUUAGUCCCAUACCCGUCCCCUAAUAGGGGAAUUCCCCGCGAGGAAUCGGAGAUCGGGUCCCCAUUGCCAUCUCUACUCCCGCCGCGCCCCUCGGCAUCUCAACUACCUCGUGAUGCCUCCCCCACCCCCGAUCUAUAAACCAGCCGCUCGCCACUCCUCCCGUAUGCUCACCUCGACGUCCACGAUCUGCUUCUCCCCCGCGCCCCUCGGCAAGCUCGCAGUCCAGGAUCCGCCUCUCGCGCGCCCCCGCCGACGCACACAGCUCGCAGACGGCGCCCCCCAUAUCCACUUCUUGCUGGCCGCUCAGAUCCUCUGUAUCCCUCCUCUUGCUGCAGAUGAUAUGCUAGAGCGUCAGCAAGGCGGACUCUCCAUCCCUCCAGAGAGGGAGGGAGGCAGCAGCCAAUGCCCAGCACGUACCAAUCUGCGUGACAGGAGGUGUCCGGACUGCGUACCCACGGGCGAGCAGGAUUUUGACGAUCCACGACCCGAUGAAGUCGCCGGCGUCGGUGACGCACAAGGCGGCGGUGGCCAUCGUGCGCUGACGCCCAGUCCCUUCUUCCUCUCGGGGCGGUGGUGCCGCCAGGCGAAUGGAUUCGUCCGAGAGCGAGCAAAUAGGGGUAAGCAUUUAUCAAGCGGAAGUGGGAAGAAAUGGUACAGUGUAGUGGAGGAAAUGACACAGGACACAAGCGGAAGCUGGCAUCUCAAGGCGGUCGCACUCGCACAGUUAGCAAUGCACUCCCCUAAUUUCUGCCCUUUUAUGGUUUCACGAUUAUCUGAAUAUGGAGUUCAAGGAUUGAUCUUUUCUGAGUUCUUUGUUGCCAUAUUUUCUGUCCAUGUAAUAAGGUUGUGGCUAAAAUAUUGUGUCAAUCGGGCUUGUGUGUUGCAGUUCUAUUCUUGCGUAGUGCAGCUCCGAAGUCGCUGCUACCAGGUGCCCCCGUGCCUAUCAAGUAUCAACACUGCUUAUCAACGGGCUAUACCCUUGUAUGGUGGACAUUCACGAAGAGCAAGCUCCAGCACCGUUGCUGUUCUGGUCUCGACCGUGGAGAUGGAACUAUGAUUAAAAGAAAAGAGAACACUACGGAAGGAACCUACUGAUGCUCAGUGUACUGCGACUUUCCCACGAUGCUCAUGAUGUCGAAGUCUGCAGUUGCUAGACUGGCCCGAGUAAUUGCUAAGUUUUGUAGAAAAUGUUUAGGCCCAUUUUUGAACGCAUGAAUUUCGUAUAGACUGUAUUUCACACGAAAUACACAGGAACAAACAUUUUUCCUGCCUUCCAAACAGGCUGUUAGGAUUAGUUGAAGUUCCAGUUUGAUCAUAGGCACCUAGGUCGAUGCUCUUUAGUAAGAUGUAAGUAAUCUGUCUUCUGGCCAGGUUGAGCAAGGCUUAGCUGCAGUGUAUCAGUGUGGUACAACUGAUGUAUUUAUACUGUACAACCUAAUGAGACUGUAUGGAUUAGAGCUAUAAGAACCUGCACAGAUAUUUCAC
Molecule: unclassified non-coding RNA, 1500 nt
Filed under: Zea mays
Lineage: Eukaryota; Viridiplantae; Streptophyta; Magnoliopsida; Poales; Poaceae
Description: misc RNA Zm00001eb241380
Source: RNAcentral